CUCUUUUCUUGCACGAGAUACUGUUUGGAUGGGUGCCUGCACUCAAGUGCCUGGUACUGAAAUAAGGAGAUCACCAGAAGGCAAGACGAGCUAAGUCCACCACCUAUAAAAACACAAGCUCUACCUUUUGUCUCAGUUCCAUUUUGGACUCAGUCUUUUGUGAUUACUCUCUUUCACUACAAUAUUCAAGCGUGUCACAUGACUGGGAUCAGAACACUCGUUCCAAAGGGUUCUAACAGGUCACACGGCAGAUGAAAUGGUUAACGGCGAUAUCUG
Molecule: long non-coding RNA, 276 nt
Organism: Polypterus senegalus (gray bichir)
Lineage: Eukaryota; Metazoa; Chordata; Cladistia; Polypteriformes; Polypteridae
Exons: 3
Source: RefSeq, a predicted model, not a curated record